This 291-nucleotide ribosomal RNA is filed under the name uncultured prokaryote. RNAcentral's name for it is "partial 16S ribosomal RNA". It matches the Rfam family "Bacterial small subunit ribosomal RNA", at positions 505 to 796 of the family's 1533-position model. The record is from RNAcentral.
GUGCCAGCAGCCGCGGUAAUACGUAGGUCCCGAGCGUUGUCCGGAUUUAUUGGGCGUAAAGCGAGCGCAGGUGGUUUAAUAAGUCUGAAGUUAAAGGCAUUGGCUCAACCAAUGUACGCUUUGGAAACUGUUAAACUUGAGUGCAGAAGGGGAGAGUGGAAUUCCAUGUGUAGCGGUGAAAUGCGUAGAUAUAUGGAGGAACACCGGUGGCGAAAGCGGCUCUCUGGUCUGUAACUGACACUGAGGCUCGAAAGCGUGGGUAGCGAACAGGAUUAGAAACCCGCGUAGUCC